Capsicum annuum is the source of this 2889-nucleotide long non-coding RNA. RefSeq lists it as uncharacterized. The record is from RefSeq and is a predicted model, not a curated record. The transcript has 4 exons. NCBI's taxonomy places the organism in Eukaryota, Viridiplantae, Streptophyta, Magnoliopsida, Solanales, Solanaceae.
CCAUCGUACAAACACUAGCAAAACCCAAACAACAGCAAUCGUAAAUCGACCCCAAAUAUGACGACUUAACCCGUUCAACAGUGUCGACCCGAUAAACCGAUUCCACCAGCCCCAACCCUUUCGUUUUCUCUUCACACGCAUCCCACUCAAAUUCGCGAGGAAGAACCUCGAAGCUUCUAGAAAAAAAGCUUAGGUGUCGUCUCCAACGGUUCAACCCCGCGAUUCUCGGAGGAUAAGGUACGAAUUCGUAUAAAGGUGGGUGAAUUUCAUUGGUUUUGGGGGGGGGGGGGGGGGGGGGAUUUCUACCUUUCUUCUUCCUAUUAGUUGAAACCAAUUCGAAAUUCUCCUAAGAAUAAAAAAUUCGUACAAGUUUGUUAGCUGGAAAUUCCUAUCCGAAACUUGAAUUCAAAAGAUCCUAUUUCUUAAGUCCCUAAAAUACCCCAAUCUUUUUAAGUAUAUAAGAACCCAUUUUGGGUCACUGUAGGGGAGGUUUUCUUUUGUUGUUGAAAAAUUCGGAGAAGGCUAGGAAAUUGGCGAGUUGGAAAUUUUGGGUUCGAAGGAGGAGGAUUAGAAACUUCAAGCUAGUUCGAAAUUUGGGGUUGGGAAUUUUGAAAGUAAAGAGUUUGUUUUGCUAAAAGUUUCUCGUACAUUUUUCUGGGAAGCUAGUUGAUUGAUUGGGAGUUCCCAAGUCGACAACAUAAGCUCCCAGCGGGGACAAUUUUGCUGAUAGCUCGAGUCCCGUUUUGCUGCCCCGAAAAAGUGUAUCGCUGUCAAGUUGCGUGUCAUAACGUAUUCCUGAUUACGAAGGGUAUUACCUACAUCGUACAGCUGCAUAUAGCUCCAGGACAACUAAGUUUUGAUGCAAUAUGUUUGUAUCUCGAUGGUAUAGGAUUCAAACUGACUUUUGCCUCUUAAUGCACUGUUUUAUAUCAAAUAUAUGUUGUAUGUAUGAAAGCCUGUAAUGCGACAAUCAUGCUAGUGAUUUGGUUGCUGAUACCAUAUAUUCGUAUUUUCCCCCCCUUUCUUUUUCUAUUUAUGGACUCAGAGGACCUUCUAUUUGCAAUGAGCCUAACAUCUUUUUGACUGAUUAGGUUGAUUUAUCGGUAUUAAUCCACUAACCUGCUGUAUUACGUUUCACUUAUUUAAAUCUAUUAAAAUCAAGUUGAACUUAUUGUUUCUUCCUGCAAAAACUGGUAAUCUCGUGUAGACAUUAAAUUUUAUUAAUAUAUAAAAAAGUAGAGUAAACUUAGAAAAUAGCAAUUAACUUUAUUCUAGAAUUUCCUUUUUGGUCAGACACUUUGAUUGGUUAUUCUUUGUUGGUGUUGCUCAUGAUUAAUCUAGAAUGACAUUCUAUUAAGUCUAUUGAUUUGUCAAAUUCCAUAAAUAAAUACUUACUCUUGAUUACUUUCUUUGAUGUAUGUGAAAUGAAUUCGGGGCAUCACGUUUGAAGUCCAAAUGGGUUCUCACCCCAUUGCAUUUUAUAACGGGCCAAUGAGGCCAACCGCCUCGAGUCAUUCAUUUUUGAAGAAGAAAAUCAUUAGCGAGAGUGGAUUAAAGUCAUAUCAUUUGAAGCGGCUAUGAGACCCCAAAGUCCCAUUUAUUAUUUUUGAUUAUUUACUUAUUGUCGUCUUCAUUUAUUUAUUUACUUCCUUAUUUAUUCAUUUGAGUCUCGAAACCAAAGUUGUACUUAAUACAGGUGAAGCGAGACUCGAGCUAAAGGCUCGAAAACAUAGAAUUUAGGAUAGGUGGAAGACGGGCUAAAAGUCCAAUAUCUAUAGAUUAGGACAGGGUUAUCGAUUUGGGCCUAAUGGCUCAAGUCCUUCUACUUCUACCCUUUCCCUUUUACUUUUGCUAAUUUUUUUUAUGUGCUUUCUUGCGAACCUAGUUAAAAUUCCUAACUAAGUCGCUAAGAAUUGGUUUUGCAUAAACCUUAAAAAUAUUUUCUAAACAAAUUACUUUUUUCAACAAAUCAUUAUUUUUUCAAAGUUAGUCAAAAGUGUUUUUAAACCGAUCGGAUAACCGUAAGUUAGCGGAACAAUUUAGAUACCUAACACCUUCCUAAAACGUGAAUAGGAACCAAUCAUUCAGACUCUCUUAACUUAAAACGAUUUUUUUUUUGAAUCGUUUGAAGUAACUCUCAAAAGGUUUCUUAAUUCCUUUUCAAAAUUAAGUGGCGAUUCUUCUCAAAAGUCAAAAUUUCUCUGCAAAACAGCAUCAUCCAAGGGUGGCUCCCUACAUACUGCGGGUGCUAGAAGUACUCUUGCUGUGAUGAAAAAAAUGGAAAAAGUAAAGGGUAGAGAAAUACCACAUUAUGAGCUUUUCAAGGAGACUCAUAUGAUGAAAAAUAAAACUCGACUGAUGAAGAUGUCUGGAUUGAAACUCGUUCAAAAGUUGUCCAUGACGAAUAUAUGAGUCUUGUUGGUGUGUAUCAUAGUAGUCAGCCUCCUGAAAGUCAGGGUGACCCAAUAUCCCAACAUGUAGAGGAGGAGUUAUGGACAAAAGUUGUGGAUUCUGCAAAUAGAUGCCAUUUGAUCGAAUACCACAAAAACUUUUUUGGCGAUAAUGUUAAGUGUUCAUCCAACCCUUCUUACUCUAGCUCUUCAGUUGAUAGAGAAACGAUUGAAAAAGACUACGAAAUACGGUUUCUCAACUCACUGAAGAGCUUGCUGAACAGAGAGAGAGGCAGAAGAAGAUGGAGAAAGCAACAACAUCACAAUUCAAGAAGAUGCAGCAACAGUUGAGCUUUUUCAUUAGGACUGCGGGGAUUAUUUCUUCGUGUCCUGGUGAUGCGGUUCGGGCUGCAAAGGGUCUAGGUCCCCUGGAUGAUUUCAGCACGGAUGAUGAUAUGGAAGACGAGAACGAAUUCAAUGAUGAUGACUUUUAGUUUUU